CGGAAUGCUCGCGCCGUGGGGCGGAGAGACGCUUCUGGGACGCGCCCUGUAGAGAGCUGGAGAACGUUGCUUACCUGUGGAAUUGCCACAGAAUUCGCCCCAGUAGGAAUGCAGUUUCCUCAAGUGGACGACCACUACUGAUGUACAGACUUCCCCACCUGUUUGGCACAGACUACAUCAAGGCAGUAUCCCAUCAGCAGAUACAAGCUUGUAGAGAGGAAUGCCUGCCAAGAGGUCCACAUCCAUGUGAUGAGACUGUUUUUUACAUUUGUUGCCUUGCAAUGUCAGAAAACUAUUCAAGAAUGUUAGGCAAUACUGGAGGCAGAUGAACUCUACUUUUUCUUACGGGCCUACAUCCACACUCAGCUUUAAUAGCUGUUCCCAGGCAUACAGAGACCUGAACAGAUAACCGACUUUCAGAUCUGUCAGACUAGAGGACACAGUAGCCAGUGAAUUUUAACUUCAAAAUUGUCAGUUGUUUUUUUUGUCUGUUAAUGCCUGUCUAAUUAAUGUUUUGUAAUCAACAUGGCAGUGGCAAUUGAAAAUGUACUUGUAUUACAUCUGAAUGUAAUUUUAUUAUGAAAAUUAUUGAAAGUUGUGAGUUAUGUGUUUAAAGCCUUGAUUUGCAGUUAAUGUAUAAUGUAUAUAAACUGUGGGCUUUUUCAAAAAACCAAAAUAAUUUUGGCUCUAUUAUUACUUUGAUAGACGCCAGCUAAUAUUGUUAUGGUUGUUGCUAUGGUCAUGGGGAAGUGGGUCACGUGGUGGUGCAUCAGCCAGGUGGUAAAAUCAGCGUGUUUUUUGAACUGAGAGGGUGAGGGGGGAAGUCAUA
Molecule: long non-coding RNA, 829 nt
Organism: Larimichthys crocea (large yellow croaker)
Lineage: Eukaryota; Metazoa; Chordata; Actinopteri; Sciaenidae
Exons: 3
Source: RefSeq, a predicted model, not a curated record